Molecule: ribosomal RNA, 236 nt
Filed under: uncultured bacterium
Lineage: Bacteria
Description: partial 16S ribosomal RNA
Rfam family: Bacterial small subunit ribosomal RNA
Source: RNAcentral
ACUCCUACGGGAGGCAGCAGUGAGGGAAUAUUGGGGCAAUGGGCGAAAGCCUGACCUAGCCACGCCGCGUGAGUGAUGAAGGCCUUCGGUUCGNUAAAGCUCUGUGGAGAGGGACGAAAACCCUGGUUUCGAACUAGGCUCCAGGCUUGACGGUACCCUCUUUUAGCAAGCACCGGCUAACUCUGUGCCAGCAGCCGCGGUAAUACAGAGGGUGCAAACGUUGCUCGGAUUUUACU